AAUAGAUACCCAGGUAGUCCCAGCCGUAAACGUUGGGUGCUAGGUGUGGGCGGAUAUCGACCCCGUCCGUGCCGAAGCUAACGCAUUAAGCACCCCGCCUGGGGAGUACGGCCGCAAGGCUAAAACUCAAAGGAAUUGACGGGGCCCCGCACAAGCGGCGGAGCAUGCUGCUUAAUUCGAUGCAACGCGAAGAACCUUACCUGGGUUUGACAUGCAGGGUGAAACCCGUGAAAGCGGGCGCUCUUCGGAGCCUGCACAGGUGGUGCAUGGCUGUCGUCAGCUCGUGCCGUGAGGUGUUGCCUUAAGUGGCGCAACGAGCGCAACCCCUGUCCUUAGUUGCCAGCGGGUCAUGCCGGGAACUCUAGGGAGACUGCCGGUGCCAAACCGGAGGAAGGUGGGGAUGACGUCAAGUCAGCAUGCCCCUUAUACCCAGGGCUGCAAGCAUGCUACAAUGCGCGAUACAAAGGGCUGCGAUCCCGUAAGGGGAGCGAAUCCCAAAAAGUCGCGCUCAGUUCAGAUCGAGGU
Molecule: ribosomal RNA, 525 nt
Filed under: uncultured bacterium
Lineage: Bacteria
Description: bacterial SSU rRNA
Rfam family: Bacterial small subunit ribosomal RNA
Source: RNAcentral